Molecule: small RNA, 434 nt
Filed under: Pan troglodytes (chimpanzee)
Lineage: Eukaryota; Metazoa; Chordata; Mammalia; Primates; Hominidae
Description: retained intron
Source: RNAcentral
UUUACUUGAAACUUUCUAAAGGGAAAGUUUCCAUUUCUCUCUGUUGAGGUCAUAUCAGGUCCCUUAUAUUGUGACACUGGAAGGACAAGAAGACCUCUUUCUGCCCUGUUUAUUCCUUUUUGUUUUUAAACAUAACAGGCUUUCGGGUCACCUCCAGCAGCUCCCAGUUCAGCUCACGUGAUUCGGCACAGCUCUCUGACUCUGGCUCUGCUGAUGAGGUUGAUGAAUUUGAAAUCCAAGAUGCUGACAUCAGAAGGAACACAGCCUCAAGCAGCAAAUCCUUCGUUUCCUCCCAGUCCUUCUCCCACUGCUUCCUGCACUCCACGUCUGCUGAGGCGGUGGCCAUGGGGCUCCUGAAGCAGUUUGAGGGGAUGCAGCUUCCAGCCGCCUCGGAGCUGGAGUGGCUUGUCCCGGAGCAUGAUGCCCCUCAGAAG